RNAcentral lists this ribosomal RNA (1435 nucleotides) under uncultured marine bacterium. RNAcentral's name for it is "bacterial SSU rRNA". It matches the Rfam family "Bacterial small subunit ribosomal RNA". The record is from RNAcentral.
GAGUUUGAUCAUGGCUCAGAACGUACGCUGGCGGCACGCCUAACACAUGCAAGUCGAACGAAGUAGCAAUACUUAGUGGCAGACGGGUGAGUAACAUGUGGGUAUCUGCCCUUUGGUUUGGAAUAACACGAGGAAACUUGUGCUAAUACCGAAUAAGUCUUUACGGAGAAAGCUUUAUGCGCCAAUGGAUGAGCCCGCACUUGAUUAGUUUGUUGGUGGGGUAAUGGCCUACCAAGACUUUGAUCAAUAGCUGAUUUGAGAGGAUGAUCAGCCACAUUGGGACUGAGACACGGCCCAAACUCCUACGGGAGGCAGCAGUGGGGAAUCUUGCACAAUGGAGGAAACUCUGAUGCAGCGAUGCCGCGUGAGUGAAGAAGGCCCUUGGGUUGUAAAGCUCUUUCGUCGGGGAAGAAAAUGACUGUACCUGAAUAAGAAGGUCCGGCUAACUUCGUGCCAGCAGCCGCGGUAAUACGAAGGGACCUAGCGUAGUUCGGAAUUACUGGGCUUAAAGAGUUCGUAGGUGGUUGAAAUAGUUGGUGGUGAAAUCCCAGAGCUUAACCCUGGAACUGCCAUCAAAACUUUUCAGCUAGAGUAUGAUAGAGGAAAGCAGAAUUUCUAGUGUAGAGGUGAAAUUCGUAGAUAUUAGAAAGAAUACCAAUUGCGAAGGCAGCUUUCUGGAUCAUUACUGACACUGAGGAACGAAAGCAUGGGUAGCGAAGAGGAUUAGAUACCCUCGUAGUCCAUGCCGUAAACGAUGUGUGUUAGACGUUGGAAAUUUAUUUUCAGUGUCGCAGGGAAACCGAUAAACACACCGCCUGGGGAGUACGACCGCAAGGUUAAAACUCAAAUGAAUUGACGGGGACCCGCACAAGUAGUGGAGCAUGUGGUUUAAUUCGAAGAUACGCGCAGAACCUUACCAACACUUGACAUGUUCGUCGCGACUCUAAGAGAUUAGAGUUUUCGGUUCGGCCGGACGAAACACAGGUGCUGCAUGGCUGUCGUCAGCUCGUGUCGUGAGAUGUUGGGUUAAGUCCCGCAACGAGCGCAACCCUCACUUUUAGUUGCCAUCAUUAAGUUGGGCACUCUGAAAGAACUGCCAGUGAUAAGCUGGAGGAAGGUGGGGAUGACGUCAAGUCCUCAUGGCCCUUACGUGUUGGGCUACACACGUGCUACAAUGGUAUCUACAACAGGAAGCAAGACUGCGAAGUUAAGCAAAUCCCUAAAAGAUACCUCAGUUCGGAUUGCACUCUGCAACUCGAGUGCAUGAAGCUGGAAUUACUAGUAAUCGUGGAUCAGCGUGCCACGGUGAAUGCGUUCCCGGGUCUUGUACACACCGCCCGUCACACCAUGGGAGUUGAUUCUACCUUAAGGCAAAGUUUAAAACCUUUGACCACGGUAUAGUCAGCGACUGGGGUGAAGUCGUAACAAGGUAACC